Molecule: ribosomal RNA, 513 nt
Filed under: Candida albicans
Lineage: Eukaryota; Fungi; Ascomycota; Pichiomycetes; Serinales; Debaryomycetaceae
Description: eukaryotic LSU rRNA
Rfam family: 5.8S ribosomal RNA (bases 146-299)
Source: RNAcentral
AGGGGCUUCUGACUGCUUAUUGCACCACAUGUGUUUUUCUUUGAAACAAACUUGCUUUGGCGGUGGGCCCAGCCUGCCGCCAGAGGUCUAAACUUACAACCAAUUUUUUAUCAACUUGUCACACCAGAUUAUUACUAAUAGUCAAAACUUUCAACAACGGAUCUCUUGGUUCUCGCAUCGAUGAAGAACGCAGCGAAAUGCGAUACGUAAUAUGAAUUGCAGAUAUUCGUGAAUCAUCGAAUCUUUGAACGCACAUUGCGCCCUCUGGUAUUCCGGAGGGCAUGCCUGUUUGAGCGUCGUUUCUCCCUCAAACCGCUGGGUUUGGUGUUGAGCAAUACGACUUGGGUUUGCUUGAAAGACGGUAGUGGUAAGGCGGGAUCGCUUUGACAAUGGCUUAGGUCUAACCAAAAACAUUGCUUGCGGCGGUAACGUCUACCACGUAUAUCUUCAAACUUUGACCUCAAAUCAGGUAGGACUACCCGCUGAACUUAAGCAUAUCAAAAGACGGAGGAA